This 447-nucleotide ribosomal RNA is filed under the name uncultured bacterium. RNAcentral's name for it is "bacterial SSU rRNA". It matches the Rfam family "Bacterial small subunit ribosomal RNA", at positions 29 to 521 of the family's 1533-position model. The record is from RNAcentral.
AACGAACGCUGGCGGCAUGCCUAACACAUGCAAGUCGAACGAGACCUUCGGGUCUAGUGGCGCACGGGUGCGUAACGCGUGGGAACCUGCCUUUAGGUUCGAAAUAACUCAGAGAAAUUUGAGCUAAUACCGGAUAAUGUCUUCGGACCAAAGAUUUAUCGCCUUUAGAUGGGCCCGCGUAAGAUUAGCUAGUUGGUGGGGUAAAAGCCUACCAAGGCGACGAUCUUUAGCUGGUCUGAGAGGAUGAUCAGCCACACUGGGACUGAGACACGGCCCAGACUCCUACGGGAGGCAGCAGUGGGGAAUAUUGGACAAUGGGCGAAAGCCUGAUCCAGCAAUGCCGCGUGAGUGAUGAAGGCCUUAGGGUUGUAAAGCUCUUUUACCCGGGAUGAUAAUGACAGUACCGGGAGAAUAAGCUCCGGCUAACUCCGUGCCAGCAGCCGCGGU